Long non-coding RNA from Mirounga angustirostris (Northern elephant seal), 11601 nucleotides. RefSeq lists it as uncharacterized. The transcript is spliced from 2 exons. Lineage: Eukaryota; Metazoa; Chordata; Mammalia; Carnivora; Phocidae. The record is from RefSeq and is a predicted model, not a curated record.
CUAAAUAACAGCUGCUGGAUUUCGAGUAAGUGCCUUACAUUAUUUUAUUCGCCCCCUACAGUCUUCUAAGGUAGAUAUCGUGAUGGUCAUACACAUGAGGAAGCUGCGGUGGCGAGAGGCUAAUGUAGCUACUGCGUCUCGGCUGCCAACUCAGGGUCAGGUGCUGCAGCCCCCGGCUUUAGCCACUGUACUGUCCUAGCAGUGGGUACACAUCUUUCCUGUUGUAAAACUGCUCCAAAGAAGGGUGUUGCGUCACCUGUCCUAGGAACUGGCCCCAGGUGUAAAUAAAAGUAUGCAGAAUGAAGUUACUCUCUGCAGAGUUGAAUGCCACUUCCUUGAGAUGUGCUGUGCUUCGUGGAGGUAAGGAAGCAGUGCUCCCACCCUCCCCCCACCACUAGCUCUGAACGAUCAAUCUUGAGGGGGUAUGUGCGACUGAAACAAAUGAACCUUGCUGAGUCUGUCAGCAUUCCCAGCCCGCCUGUAAUUAAGUCGUGGAGAUGGCCACCGGUCUUGCUAAUGUUUUAGAAGGAAGUGGCUAGGAGAUGGUGUCUGAAUGUUUGGAAGCCCAGAGGAGGGGCUGUAGUCACACUUGGGGACUUCCUGGGUAAGUCGCACUGGGGCUGAGAGCAGAGGACUUGGAGCUGUAUCAGAAACUGGGAGCAAGCGCUGAGAGAGGUGAGCUGAGCAGAUGUUGGAAAAGCACCUCAGGGAAGAGCAGGGAGUGACAACUAAGCUGCUUCACAGUCCAACAUCUGGAGGUUGGUUUGCACGGGGAGCAGGGAUGGCUUGCUGUUGAAAUGGUGGGCUUUGUUUCUGUCGUUGAAGGAAAUAAUUCACAGUGCUACAUAAGGGGGGUAAAGCAAGAUGAGGCAAGGUUCUCGCUCUCAAGUGAGGGGUGCAGGCUGAGAGCCACCUGACUCAAAGAGUCUGGAACUGGGUGCCCGUGGAGAAGGACUCAUUCGUGAAGUAAAAAUAAUUGAAUCAGUUGAGACUCUUUACCCAUAAAUUACCCUGAAGUCACUGGGUAAUUUGUCCCCUGAUAUUUCUGCCAACUAUAAUAAAACAAUAUGCAUUUACCACUGCAAUUGUAACAUGUGAUAGACAUUUGGGGAAAAUGCUUGGUUAUAAAGGUAAUGUUAGGGUCUUAGGAGGAGGAAUUCCUCAGGCAGGGAAGUGUUUCAAAGCUUUGGAGUAUGACCUAUGUUCAAAUCCAGACUUAGACUCCUACUCGUUUUGUUAUUUUAGGGAAAUUACUCAACUUCUCUAAGUCCACAUUUUCUUUUCUAAAAUGUUGGACAAUAAUAACACACAAAGUGCUUUUGUGAGCAUGAGAGAUGUGCCUGUGAAGCACUUCACACCUUGUUUUGGUCCAGGGUAAAUGUUGAGUAAAUGUCAGCAGCUGUCCUCUGUCCUCCAACCUCCCCAUCAGCUGAGCAUGCGGCAGUUGAACCUGGCGCAGAAGCCUAGCCUGGGGGCUGCCCUUAGGGCGUGUUUCAGAAGCCUUUGAGUACUUGCCUAUUGAUGAGUGCAGAAGAUCGGGUGGCUUGGCCUGGAAGCUCAUUCUGUUUUCUUUACCAAUAGCUUUCAUCCUUCUUCCAGAAGUACCGAGGCCAGAAAGUAGACAUAUCAAAAAUAAUAUCUCCUAACGAGGGCUAGGUUUCUUCUCACAGCUUAUGUGAACUUCUGUUCUGUCCAGGAUAGAAUAGUUGAUUUUCUCUUAGAUAGGCUUCUUUUAUCUUCUGUAAAAUGAGGAUACAUUGUAUAUUUUUAGUUUUUUAAAGAUUUUAUUUAUUUAUUUGACAGAGUGAGUGAGAGAGCACGAGCGGGGGAACAGCAGAGGCAGAGGGAGAAGCAGGCUCCCUGCCAAGCAGGGAGCCCGAUGCAGGGCUCAAUCCCAGACCCUGAGAUCAUGACCUGAGCCGAAGGCAGACGCUUAACCAUCUGAGCCACGCAGGCGCCCCACAUUGUAUAUUUUUUUAUAAUGUUCUCUCUCUUUCUUCUAAAUUUCUUUUUUUUUUCUUCUACAGAGUCUUUAAGAAGACCUAGAUUCUCACAUACAGAGGGGUUAUUAGGACCCACAUUGGAAUGGUAACAGAAAAGUUAUCAUACAUGCUUUGAAUUUGUACUCUGAAAGCUCCAAUUGCCAAAAAGAGCCAAUGGGCUUAAUGCUUGAACAUAGAGAUAGUAGUGUAUUCAAGUGGGAAGCUAAGAAUCUAUCGUGACAAAGGGAUGGCAUUGACACUCUCUUGCAGAGCCUGGUAAUGGUCUUACAUCCGCAUCAUAUCUUAUUCCAUAUAUGUUAAGGAGUCCUAAGUCCCUGCUGAUUGGCAUGAAAAAUUUCCAUGGAGAGUCUCUGUAUCCACAUGCCAAAAAGAGAUGUGUUAGCAAUUAGCACUUACUAAGACUUUGAAAAAAAUUGAUUAAAUAAGUGGUGUUCCAAUAAUCGGGAACAGAGCAAGACAAAGCAGUAGAGCUCAGUCGAGAACCUGGCCCCAGCAGCCAAACUGUUUGGGUGGAAGCAUGCUCUGCAACCUAGUGGUUGUGCAAUCUCAAGCUAGCCAUUCCACCUUUGUGUGCCUCAGUUGACUCAUUGUAAAAUGAGAAUAUUAGCUACUACCUCCUAGGCUUGUCUUCAAAAUUAACCGAGUUCACAUUUAUAAAGUAUGCAGAAUAAUGCCUGGCAUUAUAUAAAUGUUUGUUAAAUAAUUAAAUACUGAAAAUUGAUUAGUCAUGGGUAUCUGCUGAGCUGAUUGGUAUGUUUCUGCAGAAGACCGAAUACAAGCCAACAUUGGUUAAAUCAAUUAUCUGAUAGAUUCCAUGAAUGCAUGAAAUCUGAGGGCAAAUAUUUUGAAACUGGAUAUAUUUCAUUGAUGAAAUGAAUGUCUUCAUUUCAAACUAAGCAUGAUACUUCAGACCCUUAUAAUAACAUGAAGUCACUUAUAUUUUUUUUAUCCAAUUAUGAGGCAUUCUACCUCUCUGUACACACUUUAAUGUCUGAAGAUUAUACAUGUCUUAAAAUCAGUGGAUCUGUUGAAUGUUGUCAUCCCUCCCCCAAUAAGGCUUUAUUUGACUAAUGUUGCAAUGAAAAAAAAAAAACUUGGUUGUCUUUGAAAAAGGAAGCAUGAUUCAUGGGUCCACAGAAGUGUGCUGAAUCUGUACUCUGAGAAGUAUAAAAUCAGUGUCCGGGAAUGAGGUGAUGCUUCACCUAUCCAUUGAAAGCGAGAGCCCCAUGUGCGGUGUCCAGAGCCUUCCCCUUGACCCCAGGGAAUUGGACUUCAGGGCCACAGGGGCUUCCUUGCAUCCCCAAAACACAGGAAUUAGUUACCCUUUGGGUCCAGUAGCUGUGUGUCCCAUCAUCACUGAAUUGAAUUUGGCAUUGGAUUUGCAUUGACAUGAACUUAGAGGUAAUUCCUGUAAGAAGCCUCAACCGUUUUAGAAUCCAGGAAAAAUAACUGUGGCAAGGAUUUGUAACCAGGGAGCCUAUGAACAGAAUCCAAGGUCUCUGCACUUGAAUGGGGGGGGGGGCCCUCAUUUUCACGAAUCCCUAGCUGAAAUUUGGCAUUUCCUUUGGUUAUGAAUAUAGACACCAAAUCAGGUUAGUAUUUAACAUUUGAAAUUGUAACACCCAUGAAAUAUGCCACUAGAUCCUGUUAUUCAGUGUGUUAAUAAGCACAAAUACAACUAGAUCAGAAUUUGUUUUUUGGGGGCGCCUGGGUGGCUCAGUCAUUAAGCGUCUGCCUUCAGCUCGGGUCAUGAUCCCAGGAUUCUGGGAUCGAGCCCCACAUCGGGCUCCCUGCUCAGCAGAGAGCCUGUUUCUCCCACUCCCACUCUCCCUGCUUGUGUUCCCUCUCCCUCUCUCACUGUGUCUCUGUCAAAUAAAUAAAUAAAAUCUUUAAAAAAAAUAAUUUGUUUUUUAACAUUUCGAUAACUGUAUUUCAAUAUACUUUGUUCCUUUGUAAUCCUAUGUCUUUUAUGCUUUUAAAAACAUUAUUCUGAGGGCGCCUGGGUGGCUCAGUUGGUUAAGCGACUGCCUUCGGCUCAGGUCAUGAUCCCAGGGUCCUGGGAUCAAGUCCCACAUCGGGCUCCCGGCUCAGCAGGAAGCCUGCUUCUCCCUCUCCCACUCCCCCUGCUUGUGUUCCUGCUCUCGCUGUCUCUGUCUCUGUCAAAUAAAUAAAUAAAAUCUUCAAAAAAAAAAAUUAAAAAAAAAAACAAAAACAUUAUUCUGAGAUGAAGUCAGUAGGCUUCCCCAGAUUGCCAGCUGGGGUCCAGAGUACUAAAAGUUAAGAACCCUGUUUUCUGGUCCUUUGCCUCUAUGGUCGUUCCAGUUCUCAGCCAUUCUUCUGUUUCUUCCCCGCCAUGUCCCUUUGCCUGUGCUCUGCACAGCUGAGACGUGGACUUCGAAAGGUUCCGUAUCUAUUGCGUCGCUGGCAUCUUUUCUAUAUUUUUGACUCUGGCAACGGAAAUUUUUCGGCUGUAUUAUCUGUGAUUUAUACAUCUUAGAGGAGGAGACUCUCUUUAGCUUUUCUGCCUCUCCAGUACAAUGCUGUCUACAUAGACUUCCAGUGAAAGGUGUUGAUCCAGUGAUUGUUUAUUGGAGAGUUGGCUGCUGUGAAAGCAAGACACAGAGAGCAGAGGACUUGUAGCCCUGGGAGUGGGGAGGAGAUGGGGGAGAGGGUGUGCUUAUGCAAAAUGGUAAUAUGAGGUCCUGAGGGGAGAGCCGGUAGAGGCUGUGAAAUGAGUUGGGGAAAUAGUACAUCGGGUGGAAUAAUAAGGAGAUGGAGAAGUAAUUAAAUUGAGGCUUUCCAGUCUCCUUCUGAUGGAAGCUUCUCCUUAUCAAAAUCUACUUUUGCUCCUGAGAACUGUUCCUAUGUAGUUAAGGAUGGAUUCUUUACCCGUGUCUUCAAUUACUUGAAUUCACUAUGGAGCUUUCAUGACUCAGGGCUUUCUGUGAAGGCUCCCUUACCUCCCAGAUAACUCCCUUAUUUUAGUUCAGGUUGUUGCCAGAAUGUUAUGAUGUGGUGUGUCCACAUUUUAUAUUGAAUAGAGGGAAGUAGGCAGACUCUGGGCUUGUAGGAAAUAUUGCCUAUCUUUGAGGAUUUGGAGGUGUUAGGCAAAGGGUAAAAACCAGUGCAAGAGAAAAUAUUUUUAGGUAAAAUAUCCAGUAACAGAAUGUUUCGUCUUUGUUAAGCCACAAGGGAAAUAUUACAGGGAAAGUGGAUGCAGAAAAGAAUUUAAAGUGAUAAGCAUACACUGCUAUAUCUGUAUAUAGCUAUGCUGAAAUACUAGGUCUAGGGAAUUUAAAAAAUUAUUUAUUCUGGUAAUAGGAGAACCUGGGUUUGGAUUGCCUUGAGACCCCCAAAACAUGUUUUACUUACCACUUAGGAAAGACAGUUUUAAUGAAUGGCUGGAUUUAUGUGGAUUAUAGUCUCUAAAAAACCAACAACUUACUGCUUACAUGUGUAUGUUUCUAAUGAAAACACAAUUCAGAUUGAGGGUAAUCUGAAUUAGGGACAAGAUAGUGUGUGUGUGUAUAUAUAUAUAUAUAACCUUCAAAUACUUUUAAUAACUAGAUCUAAUAUAACAAACUCUUGUAUGUUACUAAGGAUUCUGCUUUAAUAAAUAAAUAGUAUAUCUUAGUCACAUGCCAUUGUAGGUAGAUGUGUUUAUAAAACGCUUUGGGGCUUUUAAGAAAGUCUCUUAAAUAUUUGGAAAAUCAUUUUUAUUUGCAUUAUUGGUUUCCCUAUUGUAUCCUUUCUUUAGAGAAUAUGUUAAAAUUUUGGAUAAUGUUAAACUUAGCUAAAUUAUCACAAAGCCUUAACCAUAAAUCCAUAACAAAAAUCAGAUGGGAUGAAGGAAUACGUAAGCCUGUUGAGAACAUUGUUUUGUCAAAUAUUCUUUCUGUAUCAAAGUUUUUUGUCACACGGACAAUAAAACAACUUAGGAGGUGCUGUAAUUCCUCCCUUUUAUUUGGGACUCCCGAAGUCAGGGUGACCAAGAAGCAGGGGUGAUCAGGUUUUACCAGUUUAUUAAGGAAAGCCCGGGCUAACCCUUUAUAGGAUGAGCUCUCGGGACCUCUGUAGCCUUGAGCUGGAGAUUUUGAUACUCCUUCCCAUGCUAGCCUUAAAAAAAAGCCUUAUUUCACAAAGUCUGGCAAAGCAUUUAAAGUCCAGCCACUUCCCAAAGCUGAAUCCAUGUAUAAAGUCACCUUGGGUUUCUGCUACCAAGACUGGUCUAUGUUAUAGGUAUUUGAUAAGCUGUGCCCCAUUGUGAUUUUGUAUGUUAGAUCUUUGGGUUUGCUCUGUGGGCUUCUGGCUGUGGGAGGCACAUUUUAUCCUAUUAGAAUGUUAUAACUUCUAGUCUAUUUCUCUCAUUUUCUAUAUUGGAAAUAAACAUUCGUGCACAUUCUAACAAAGUAUGCAGUUUAAGAGAAGUUAGAUGGCAUGGAAUAAUUAUCAUAAAUUAAUUUUUACAUAUUUGAUCUCGUAGCCUCCCUGCACCAUUUUUUUUUUUUUCUUCCAGUUAACAAGUUCUGUGACUUGUUUAAGUUGUGAUCUGGACUUCUGAUUUUAGAGGAGAAGUCAGAUAAGUAUAAGCAUUUCCAUGCAAAUCAUGUUUCUAAAAUCAUCCCUAGAGUGUGUGUAUGCCUAGUGGAAUGCAAAGCUUACUAGAGAAAGGAUGGAAUUAGGUGAGCCUGAAGGAAGUAUAAAAAUCCUGUUUAAUGACCCUCUUAGGUUUUUAUAUAGAUGAAUUUUAUUAAAUGAGGAAUGGUAAGCCCGUCUGGAAUAUCUCAUCCCCUGAAUAGUCAGUUUUGGCACUAUAAACUGGGAAGACUUCUAUUGUGUCUCCGCAUAGAUAGCAUUGCGUUAUUGCAAGCCCCAAGGCCCUUUUCCUGAACAACAUAUGCUUGUGUGUGGCUCUGUUUUAUGUGAGCCAAACCAAUCUUAGGUCUCGUAUGGGAGUUUAUUAGUGCGUGUGUGUGUGUGUUGUUUAAGAGAGAUUUUAGGGCCUGGAGUAAUGAGACAUGGCCAGUUAAAGCCAUGUGUUGCUUAAGGAUGUGGUUCAGUGAUCACAGCCUAACUCCAAAUACUUAAGUUUAUCAAAUGCCCUCAUUACAGACCUUGAGUAGUCCAAUGUCUUCGAUGCACCCUUGCCGUGCCUUUCUGCAGGGCUUUACUGCUGCGUGUUCCCUCCUCUCUCUGGUGCUGCUACCUUUAUCCCUUCUCAUGGUGCGCAGUCCCGACCCUGGUACCUUCUGCUUCCCUCCUUUUCUCCAUGUAAAUCUUGUUCCAUCAUAUAGGGAGCUGCCCUUACAGAGGCGCAAGAGAAGUUCUGAGUUUAUAGCUUAUAAAGCGUACCACUUUAAAAAGUUUUAACAAGCAAGAGGUGUUUCAUAACCCAGUAGGAAAAAGAUCUCUAACGAUGAAAUCCAGGCCUAUGGAAAAGGGAUGGGAACCUUAUUGUCACACCUUUGUGCUCUCCCUGUCCUGCUAGGUUCCUUCAUGUUUUCAGGCAUCCCAAGGAGAGCGAGCCUAUUGCAACAUGCUUCAGAGGUAUGGCGUGUUGGUGUAGGAUGUGAUUACGGGAUACCUCUGAUAGAAGGUAAACAAAACCACCAGUGUAUUUUCUCAGCCAUGUCAGAAAUCUGCGUAAAAUGAGCAUUAGAUGAUUAGUUUUGGUGACGGGAUGCUGCCCUGGCUACUUGCUGACCUGGCAUCCUGGAGAGACCCUGGUCCUCCUAGACCUGACUCAGGCUGCAGCUUUGAGCUGGGGGCCUGGUACCAUCCUCAUGGGCAAAUGUAGGAAAUGCCAAAUGGCCUGGCAAGUUCUACUCUGGCCUUUCGAUCCUCGCUGAGCCAUAUGGUGCUAAAAUGUCAAACUGUUCCUGAGUGGGCCAUGAUUGAAGAGCUAGAUAGAGAAAACACACUUUAGAUAAUGGAUCCACUGAGGCUUUUAGUCCCCAGCUACUGGCUUUUUCUUACUUUAACCAACAUUUAUUAGGUAGUGUUUGGUUGAUAGUGGGCUACUUACGUUGUGGGAGAUACCAAAAUAUGCAAUAAAAUAAUCAGAUGUUUCUUACUGGCAAAGGUUGUAUCUCCCAUGGUUCAUGUAAAUUGCACUUAAUAAACUGUCAGUAGAGGGAGGUGAAAUGUAUGAGUGAUUUACACAUAGAAUUUAAUGGGAGGAAACUAUCUUAGAAACUGAGGAAAGAUGAAGAAACUAAGUCCCCCCAAAGAUUGUAACAUCCUUAGGUUGUGUUUGCAGAGAUCUUACUAGAAACUAUGCCUUAUCCCCUUUUCCACUGCAGCUUCUUGGUGCUGUAUUCUGGCAAUUGCCCUUGUUGAUGGAUUGACAUAAUGCCUUGAGAUGUUUACAAUCGGUGUAGGAAGAGAAAACACAAUAGGGACUUACAGAUGAUCCCAAUCAAAACAUGUACAGGUGCUAAGUGAUUGAGGCCAAAGGGAAUGUGGAAGUCCAGAGGGAGAGAGGAGGAGAUGAGUGAUGUGGUUCAGGUGAGGUUAGUCCUGGCAGGCUUCCAAGAGAUGGCUGGGCUUGGGUUUGGCCCGUGUAGCUCUCCUCAGUCCCAGUCGCUGGGCCUUUACGGAAACACGAUUUUCUCAUAGCACAGGAUAUCUGACUGGUUGGAAAGAAGAGAUGUUUGUACUCAGAGAGUUUUUGCCCCUGAUAGUUUACGGGGUCUCAAUCUUUUAGAUGUGUCGCCAGAUGCACAGAAUGGAACAAUAUAUCACAUUCAGUUUAGACCUAAUGAAAAAGACAAGUCAUUUCAUGUACUGGAUAGAGGUGCUAUAGACUUUUUGACUCUAAUGAAUCUUUACUGUCUCUUCAAUUUGAAUAACUCCUUCCUGGGAUGCCUGGGUGGCUCAGUCUGUUAAGCAUCUGCCUUCGACUCGGAUCAUGAUCCCAGGGUCCUAUGAGUGAGUCCUGAGUCUGGCUCCUAUCUCAGCUGGUAGCCUGCUUCACCCACUGCCUGCCUCUCCCCCUGUUUGUGCGCGCACUUUCUCUCUGACAAAUAAAUAAAAUCUUAAAAAAAAAACCCAAAAAACUCCUUCCUGUCUUGAUUUAUAAAUUUUCAAAAAAAUUGCUUUGAUUUUACUUAUCCAUACUUGACCAUAUGUAAGCUCCGCUAUUUGAAUCGCUCUAAACAGCCGUGUUCUCCUGGCAGUGUUGUGACAUUUCUGGGAUUGGGUGCUCAGGAGUAAGCCUCUUUCUGUUGCCACUGGCUGUGGAUGCUUCUUCUGUGCCUGGGAUUUAGCCCAAAGCUUUGCAGUCCCAGGGGGAAGUACUUUUUUUUUUUUUUUUUUUUAAAGGGAGGGAGGGAGGAGGGGCAGAGGGAGAGAGAGAAUCCCAAGCAGGCUCCAUGCCUAGCAUGAAGCCUGAUGCUGGGUUCGAUCUCACAACCCAUGAGAUCAUGACCUGAGCCGAAAUCAAGAGUCAGAUGCUUAACCAACUGAGCCACCUGGGCGCCCUGGGAAUUGCUUUGAGUGGCCCCAAGGAGGUGUCCUUUUUCUUUCUUUAAAACUUUAUUUUGAACUAAUUUUAGAAUUACAGAAAGUUUUCAAAAAUUGUACAGAAUCUCCCCCCAUCUCUCAUUCAUUCCACUUUCCCAAAUGUUAACAUCUUAUAGAACCCCUGCUUAUCUGCCCUCAGAGAAAGCCUUACCUUUGUCCACAGGAAGAGCUGUGUAAGAAUUUGCUUGGUUGUGUGGUGCAUAAUGCAAAGUAAAUAAUAACAAGCAAAUAGAUAAAUACCCUGUGUAAUUUUUAUGUGAGGGAAUGUUAUGUAAUAGUAGAAAUAAACGUCAAAUGCACCAUGUUGAGGAAGUAAAACGAAGUUGAGGAAGGGUGUAUACACUCGGGGUGAGAGCAUUCAGCGCAGUACUAGAUGCUGUAUGUGCAUGUGCAAUAACAGUGUAAACACUGGCACGUACGUGCGAACGAUCACUCAGAAAAUUCAGGCUCCUGGCUGCUUCUCUGAGUGGUCAGGACUGUGUGUGAGCUGUCUGUUGUACUUGGGACAUUUAAUUUUUUAAACUGAAUGGUAGGCACUCAGUGGCUCACUGUAUCAUUUUCUAAACUUCUUCAAUGACUAAAGUGUUGAACUUAACACUUAGAAAAUAAGGAUCAUGCCGGGCGCCUGGGUGGCUCAGUUGGUUAAGCGACUGCCUUCGGCUCAGGUCAUGAUCCUGGAGUCCCGGGAUCGAGUCCCGCAUUGGGCUCCCUGCUCGGCAGGGGGUCUGCUUCUCCCUCUGACCCUCCCCCUCUCAUGCUCUAUCUCAUUCUCUCUCUCAAAUAAAUAAAUAAAAUCUUUAAAAAAAAAAAAAUCUUAAAAAAAAAAAAAAGAAAAGAAGGAUCAUGCCAAAGCCCUGCCAGGCCCUUCACUGGAGAUACACUAGUGAUUCGUUUUCCUGGCCAGGUAGUGCACCUUCAGAGUUGAAAGGUAAAGGAGGGAGGCAGCAGUUGACUAGUUGGCUCUUCUCCGUGGGUGAGACCUUCCCCAUGCCUCGUUUUCUGUGUCACAUUUUCUCUACUUAGUUUCCAUGAUUGCCUUUACAAGCUUCAUACAACGUACAGAAAGGAAAACAAAGAGCCUCAAGCUUUUCAGUAUGAGGACACUAGACACAGAGCACAAGCAGAGGGAGAGAGAGGGAGAAGCAGGCUCCCUGCUGAGCAAGAAGCCGGAUGUGGGACUCGAUCCCAGCACCCUGGGAUCAUGUUCCGGGCCGAAGGCAGCCACCUAACCGACUGAGCCACCCAGGCAUCCCCAAAUCCUGACAUUUUUUAUGUAAUAUAAAUAUAAGGGGUACCACAUAACAGUCACAAAAAAUAGAAAAUGUGCUUAGCAAUUCUCUGUGCCAGUCAUCCAUAGCAGUAUGUGACCCACCCUUCUUUCCUCCUUUUCUUUCUUUCUUUCUUUUUUUUGGUCCUUCAGAAGCAUAGCUGGUAAUAUUCUAUUUUACUUUUUCUCUCUGGUAGAGUCCAGAUUUUCUGGCUCAGAAUUGGAGGCAUGCUACAUUUGCUCCCACCCCAUCUUCCCUACUGUUUUGUUUCCCCUCCAGAUCUUACAGCUGAAUCCCAUUGUGUUUCCCCUUUGAAAAGGAAUUACAAGCUAUUAUAAAUGAAAACUCAGCACAGUGUCCACAUACACACUAGCCUUCUGGGAAAUGUCGGUGCUCUCUGUCUUCUCAUUUCUCAAAUUACCCAUUCAUCUCUGCUUUUCAAAAUGCUAUUCUUCCUUCAAGACCCCAUUUAAAUUGGAUCUCCAAAAAGCCUUGCAUGACCACAUAAACUAGUGAUAAUUUGCCUCUUCUUGAAUCCUAGAGUAUUUUGUUUAUGUCAUUCUGAUGGCAUUGACAACAUUUGACCUUGAACUCUAAUUAUUUCUAUCUGCUCUUUUGUCCUCCACCUGAUUACAAGCUCUGAGGGCAGAGACAAAUCUUUGCCACAUAAUCCUCCCACAGAGGGUUUGACAUACAGCAGGUGCUACAUACAUACAUAUGCGAGUAAGUGAAUGAAUUACUGAAUUUUGUAGCAGGCUUAUCUUUUCAUAUAUGUCUGGAUUAAGCUAAUAAAAAUUAUUCUCUGU